RNAcentral lists this ribosomal RNA (461 nucleotides) under uncultured bacterium. RNAcentral describes it as "partial 16S ribosomal RNA". It matches the Rfam family "Bacterial small subunit ribosomal RNA", at positions 338 to 795 of the family's 1533-position model. The record is from RNAcentral.
CCUACGGGUGGCAGCAGUGAGGAAUAUUGGUCAAUGGCCGGAAGGCUGAACCAGCCAUGCCGCGUGAAGGUCAGUGCCCUAUGGGCGUUAAACUUCUUUUGUGCGGGAGCAAUAAUGGUCACGGGUGGCCAGACGAGAGUACCGUACGAAUAAGCAUCGGCUAACUCCGUGCCAGCAGCCGCGGUAAUAAGGGGGAUGCAAGCGUUAUCCGGAUUUAUUGGGGUUAAAGGGUGCGUAGGCUGUGAGGUAAGUCAACGGUGAAAUGCCCCCGCGCAACGGGGUGAAGUGCCAUUGAUACUGCCUUGCUGGAAUGCGGAUGCCGUGGGAGGAAUGUGUGGUGUUGCGGUGAAAUGCAUAGAUAUCACACAGAACACCGAUUGCGAAGGCAUCUCACGAAUCCGCGAUUGACGCUGAUGCACGAAAGCGUGGGUAUCAAACAGGAUUAGAUACCCCUGGUAGUC